GGCCUUGAGGUGUCUUCCACGUUAGAUUGCAAAUCUAAAGAAGUAGACUGACGGUCUGCCGGGGCUU
Molecule: transfer RNA, 67 nt
Filed under: Chaetodon octofasciatus (eightband butterflyfish)
Lineage: Eukaryota; Metazoa; Chordata; Actinopteri; Chaetodontiformes; Chaetodontidae
Description: tRNA-Cys
Source: RNAcentral